UCUUGAUCUUAUAUUAAGAUCAAGUAUAGUAUCUGUUCUUAUAAG
Molecule: small nuclear RNA, 45 nt
Filed under: Cervus elaphus hippelaphus
Lineage: Eukaryota; Metazoa; Chordata; Mammalia; Artiodactyla; Cervidae
Source: RNAcentral